Molecule: non-coding RNA, 29 nt
Filed under: Mus musculus (house mouse)
Lineage: Eukaryota; Metazoa; Chordata; Mammalia; Rodentia; Muridae
Source: RNAcentral
UAUAGAAAGUGACCAGAGAGGUUGUGGAC